UCUCUUUUAUCACAUCAAUAUUACAAGCAGUUCCCUUUCCAAUACAAAUACAUAAAAGGGUCAACUAUUAUAACUCUCCUUAGCAAAAACGUUCUUUAUUUAUCAAAGUCAACAAAGUACAAUAUGAUCAUUGGUCAAAAAUAGUUAGUCAAUUAUAUUUCCAUUUGUUUUAUGUAGAAAAUACAAGUCUCAUUUUGCACAGUCACAAUUUUUUUUCAUGAUAAUUGUCAGUAAGGUCAGGUCAGGUCAAGUUAGGUAAGGUAAGGUAGGAUAGGUAUGGUAAGUUAGGUUAGGUUAGGUUAGGAAAGGUAGGUUUGAUUAGAUUAGGUUAGGUAAGGUAAGGUUAGGCGGGGUAAGGUAAGAUAGGGUGGGUUGUUAGGUAUGGUAAGGUAAGGUAUGGUAGGGUAGGUUAGGUUAGUUAAGGUAUAUUGGUUGGUAAGGUAAGGUUAGGUAAGGUAAGGUAAGAUAAGGUAAGGUAGGGUAGGGUAGGUUAGUUAAGGUAUAUAGGUUGGUAAGGUAAGAUAAGGUAAGGUAAGGUAGGGUAGGUUAAGUUAGGUAAGGUAAGGCAAGGCAAGGUAAGGUUAGGUAAGGUAGGGUAGGUUGUUAGGUAAGGUAAGGUUAGGUAAGGUAGGGUAGGUUGUUAGGUAAGGUUAGGUAAGGUAGGGUAGGUUGUUAGGUAAGGUAAGGUAAGGUUAGGUUAAGGUAGGUAAGGUUAGGUUAAGGUAAGGUAUGGCAAGGUAAGGUAAGGUAAGGUAAGAUAAGGUAGGGUAAGGCAAGGCAAGCAAGGCAAGGUAAGGUAAGGUUAGGUAAGGUAGGGUAGGUUGUUAGGUAAGGUAAGGUAAGGUUAGGUUAAGGUAGGUAAGGUUAGGUUAAGGUAAGGUAUGGCAAUGUAAGGUAAGGUAAGGUAAGGUAAGGUAAGGCAAGCAAGGCAAGGUAAGGUAAGGUUAGGUAAGGUAGGGUAGGUUGUUAGGUAAGGUAAGGUAAGGUAGGGUAGGUUGUUAGGUAAGGUAAGGCAAGGUUAGGUUAAGGUAGGUAAGGUUAGGUUAAGGUAAGGUAAGGUAAGGUACAUCAUAAUGGGUGCAAUCCUGAAUCAUUUGUUACACCACUUGGGUUUCUACAUAUCCUGAUAACAUAUGUAAAAAAUAAAUAAAUAAAUAAAUAAAUAAAAAAAGACUGCUGGGAGACUUGGCUAACAACUAGAAGGGGAAGAAUGAGGAAGAAUGUAAUUAUAGACAUGUAAGGAAGGAAAGGAGGAGGAGGAGGACUAGAAAAGAAGAUGGGGGAAGAUGGGAAGCUGUGAAUGAGAGGAAGAGAGGGAAAAUAGGGAAGAAAGGGAGGUGUGAGAAAAGAAGAAGGGAGGGAGGUAGGAGGAUAGACGUGUAAGGAAGGAAAGGAGGAGGAGGAGGAGGACUAGAAAAGAAGAUGGGGGAAGACGGGAAGCUGUGAAUGAGAGGAAGAGGGAAAAUAGGGAAGAGAGGGAGGUGUGAGAAAAGAAGAAGGGAGGGAGGUAUGAGGAUAGACGUGUAAGGAAGGAAAGGAAGAAGAGGAGGAGGAGGAAAAAGGCUGUAGAAAAGAACAGAGGUAUAAGAAAGAAGAAGAAAGGAUGUAGAAGGGAAAGGAAGGGAGGAGAAAGAAAGGAGAGAAAGGAUAUCAUAAGGAAGUAUAGGAAAGAAGAGGAGAAGGAGGAAGAGAAAGGCUGUAGAAAAGAAGAACAGAGGUAUAAGAAAGAAGAAAGGAUGUAGAAAGGAAGGAAGGGAGGAGAAAGAAAGGAGAGAAAGGAUAUCAUAAGGAAGUAUAGGAAAGAAGAGGAGAAGAAGGAGGAAAUCGACAGCCAGGAAACGCAACCAGUAAAGGAAAAUGGGAAAAAAUCAAAUAAAAACUAAAGAAA
This is a long non-coding RNA of Eriocheir sinensis (Chinese mitten crab), 1888 nucleotides long. RefSeq lists it as uncharacterized. Lineage: Eukaryota; Metazoa; Arthropoda; Malacostraca; Decapoda; Varunidae. The record is from RefSeq and is a predicted model, not a curated record. The transcript is spliced from 2 exons.